GAAGGUAUAGCUCAGUGGUAGAGUGUAUGCUUAGAAUGUGUGAGGUCCUAGGUUCAAUCCCCAGUACCUCUG
This 72-nucleotide transfer RNA is filed under the name Camelus bactrianus (Bactrian camel). It matches the Rfam family "tRNA". From Rfam's summary of the family: Transfer RNA (tRNA) molecules are approximately 80 nucleotides in length. Their secondary structure includes four short double-helical elements and three loops (D, anti-codon, and T loops). RNAcentral also lists the same sequence under 2 other names. The record is from Rfam by way of RNAcentral. Lineage: Eukaryota; Metazoa; Chordata; Mammalia; Artiodactyla; Camelidae.